AGACCCGAAACCCGGUGAUCUAGCCAUGGGCAGGUUGAAGGUUGGGUAACACUAACUGGAGGACCGAACCGACUAAUGUUGAAAAAUUAGCGGAUGACCUGUGGCUGGGGGUGAAAGGCCAAUCAAACCGGGAGAUAGCUGGUUCUCCCCGAAAGCUAUUUAGGUAGCGCCUCGUGAAUUCAUCUCCGGGGGUAGAGCACUGUUUCGGCUAGGGGGCCAUCCCGGCUUACCAACCCGAUGCAAACUGCGAAUACCGGAGAAUGUUAUCACGGGAGACACACGGCGGGUGCUAACGUCCGUCGUGAAGAGGGAAACAACCCAGACCGCCAGCUAAGGUCCCAAAGUCAUGGUUAAGUGGGAAACGAUGUGGGAAGGCCCAGACAGCCAGGAUGUUGGCUUAGAAGCAGCCAUCAUUUAAAGAAAGCGUAAUAGCUCACUGGUCGAGUCGGCCUGCGCGGAAGAUGUAACGGGGCUAAACCAUGCACCGAAGCUGCGGCAGCGAACGUAUCACCCAAGACAACUUUACGGAGUUGACGAUUGACGGAGCGAAGCGACGUCAAAGCGUUCAUUAAAGUCGAGUUGGCUUAGGGAUACGUUCGUUGGGUAGGGGAGCGUUCUGUAAGCCUGUGAAGGUGUGUCGUGAGGCAUGCUGGAGGUAUCAGAAGUGCGAAUGCUGACAUAAGUAACGAUAAAGCGGGUGAAAAGCCCGCUCGCCGGAAGACC
RNAcentral lists this ribosomal RNA (723 nucleotides) under Salmonella enterica. Its description in RNAcentral is "partial 23S ribosomal RNA". It matches the Rfam family "Bacterial large subunit ribosomal RNA", at positions 711 to 1346 of the family's 2925-position model. The record is from RNAcentral. Lineage: Bacteria; Pseudomonadati; Pseudomonadota; Gammaproteobacteria; Enterobacterales; Enterobacteriaceae. RNAcentral also lists the same sequence under 2 other names.